AGUUUCUAGUGCUUGAGCUGAUAAGAGUAAUGUGGCUCAAGGUGACUGGUCCUCUGUGAGGGAUCCACGUUGAACACUUUAUCAGGAAUCACUGAUAGCUGCAUCAGGGACUUCCAGAGCAUUUUUUGAGUGAGAACGUGAAGACAGCGAUUAGCAGUUUCCAGGGGAAACAAGACAUGGUACUGCUCCCCACCUGUAAGAACAUGAUCUCUCCUCUGCCUUAACACUGUCAGCACUUCACAGUGUUUUUCCCAUCUGACCCACAUUUAAUUUUGCUAGCAUAAUGUCUGGGAGUUUUCAUGAAAAUGUGUCAUGGGCUGACUCAGAGUUAAGAAGCAAUAAAAACAGGAUAAGAAAAUCUCUUUCAGCAAAACUGUAUCUCAUGUAUGCAUCUAACUGAUGUUAUUUGCCUUUUUCAUACUAGAUUGCCACUGAACAAGAAUUUCAAAGUUAGGAAAGAAAUCUGUGCUUGAGGUCCAGCUUUUCCUUCUGUGAAUCCCAGGCAUGGAAAAUGAAAGCCCUCACUCCUCUGUUAAUAAGGGUAGUACCUGGACCUCAGCACACAGAGCAUUGGGAACUGUGACCACAGAACCCCCUCCCCUCAGUGUGAAAACUGACCCCCCAGGUAUCAAAAGUUGGAUGGAGACCAGUCAUCAUGAGGACAUCCUGCUUCAGCCCUGUGCCUGACAAAGGUCCUGAUGGUGCCAGCAACAGAGAGAAACACAGGCCUUGACAUUUCUUCAGGUAUGCAAACCAGCACAGUGGAAAAUGUCUGUGUAUUCUGAAAAUCCAAGCUGAUGUUUACUGAACAAGACCAAAAAAUUCCCUGAUUCUAUGCUGGGAGGAAGUAAAGCAGCUGGGACUGGGCUGUCCUUUAGUUUGUUUUACUUAAGCAUGAACAAUACCACCUCAUUAGACAAACAGUGUAUAAUGUGAACUAAUACAUAAAUUGAAAAAGUUAAUGCACUUACCAUUCUAUAAAGACUGAUUGUUAUCAUAGCUGGGGAAGGAGAUUUUCUUAGCAGUGCUUAUCUCAGGCGCUAUUGGAAGGGAAUCCAGUAGUACACUUUAAUUGGCUGCUUUUGCACCAUAAGAUGUGUUAAUGAUUUGUUGGACAAUUAUUAAGCUGUUUAAUCUUCCCAUCAGUCCAUGCAGGAUGUAGUUACGAAUAACAUCUUUCAUACACAACACACGUGUGACUCUGGAAAGAUGAGAUCCAUCUUCCUCUUUAAGAUCUUGCAAAGAAACAUGAAAAUCUCCACAAAGUCCUAGCUCCUGCAAUUCACAGCAGCUGGAUUAGUGUAUUAGAUGUCUUCUGAGGGAAAAAAAAAAAAAGAUCUUUGUUAUGUUUAACAUUAGCAGAUUUUAGCUGGCACCUUUUUAGUCACUGGCACUACCCUGCAACUUUCUUACAAAAAUAGUUGUGAAAGAAUGCUUUCUUGAAAAAAAAAAAUAAAUUUUACACUAUUGCUAUUUCA
RNAcentral lists this long non-coding RNA (1478 nucleotides) under Cyanistes caeruleus (blue tit). Its description in RNAcentral is "lncRNA (ENSCCEG00000020886.1)". Lineage: Eukaryota; Metazoa; Chordata; Aves; Passeriformes; Paridae. The record is from RNAcentral.